RNAcentral lists this ribosomal RNA (594 nucleotides) under uncultured Lautropia sp. RNAcentral's name for it is "bacterial SSU rRNA". It matches the Rfam family "Bacterial small subunit ribosomal RNA", at positions 75 to 665 of the family's 1533-position model. The record is from RNAcentral. Lineage: Bacteria; Pseudomonadati; Pseudomonadota; Betaproteobacteria; Burkholderiales; Burkholderiaceae.
GGGCUUCGGCCUGGCGGCGAGUGGCGAACGGGUGAGUAAUACAUCGGAACGUGCCCAGUAGUGGGGGAUAGCUCGGCGAAAGCCGGAUUAAUACCGCAUAUGACCUGAGGGUGAAAGCGGGGGAUCUUCGGACCUCGCGCUAUUGGAGCGGCCGAUGGCAGAUUAGCUAGUUGGUGGGGUAAAGGCCUACCAAGGCGACGAUCUGUAGCUGGUCUGAGAGGACGACCAGCCACACUGGGACUGAGACACGGCCCAGACUCCUACGGGAGGCAGCAGUGGGGAAUUUUGGACAAUGGGCGAAAGCCUGAUCCAGCAAUGCCGCGUGUGUGAUGAAGGCCUUCGGGUUGUAAAGCACUUUUGGCGGGAACGAAAAGGACUGUGCCAAUACCACGGUUCGAUGACGGUACCCGCAGAAUAAGCACCGGCUAACUACGUGCCAGCAGCCGCGGUAAUACGUAGGGUGCAAGCGUUAAUCGGAAUUACUGGGCGUAAAGAGUGCGCAGGCGGUUUUGCAAGACCGAUGUGAAAUCCCCGGGCUUAACCUGGGAACUGCAUUGGUGACUGCAAGGCUAGAGUGUGUCAGAGGGAGGUGGA